This 1340-nucleotide long non-coding RNA is filed under the name Equus caballus (horse). Its description in RNAcentral is "lncRNA (ENSECAG00000054207.1)". Lineage: Eukaryota; Metazoa; Chordata; Mammalia; Perissodactyla; Equidae. The record is from RNAcentral.
CACAAACAGAAGCAUUCAUAUAGAUCUGCCCAUCUGAAAAAGGAUUUAGCAAAGGACAUUUCUCCUUGCAAUGGGACAGCUGAAGAGGUGUAAUUUAACAGCUCUCAGAGGCCGUCACUGUGGUGAUUGAGGUGGACAGAAGGCAUGGACAUGACCAAGGCCCUUAAAAGACACAAACAGGUGGGAGAGUGUGCUGGGGGUGGGCAGAGGGCUGCAGAGGACAAAAAGGAGGAGGCUCGCCUUCGGAGAGCAGAGACGGGAGAAGGCAGACAGCGAGACUGCCCGAGGAACGGGAGGAGAGGGGAGGACAGGAGAUCCGAAGCUAAAAGCUCGGUCACAUCUAGACAGGACACAAUAUGAGGUAAAGCUAGAAUGAAGGACAGGAUUAAAAGAAGGGAAGAGAAAUGAGCGGACAGGGCACAGAGAGGGAGAAAUGACAGACAAUCAGGAAAGGGAACGUGCAUAAAGGAAAGACAAAGAUGAUUUCUCCAUGUGUGACCAGAAGGAGGGCGGUUAAAAAGAAAGAGAAAGGAGUAACAGGGAAAAGGGUCUUAAGACGGAGACAAAAGAAGCAAGCAGUGCACAAGUCCUAGUUAAAUGCUUAGAAAAUCACCAGGCUGUCGGGCUGAGCUGGAAGACGAGCCCUAGCCGUACCCAAGAGGGGACCAUCAGAAAGACGGAGGCAGGCAAUUUAAGUAGCUGGUUACUAGGUAAAAAUGAAAAAAAAAAUUGAAGAAGGAAAAGGUGAGAAGCAGAAGAGGGAAAACCCAAAGGACACACUGGCCCAGAAACCUUUUUAACUUUCUGUAAGAAUCUUCAAGGCCCCAAACUAGGCCAAGAUUCUGACUGACAUUUCUGAGCUCACCAGCUGCUGUUUCCUUGAGAGAAUUCUGACAGGAAGGCAUAGAAACGCAAGCCAACACUGCCAGCGCCGAAAAAAAAUAAAUAAAUAACAACCGUGCUCUGAGCACCUCAAUGGGGCCGAAACCUGUCGGAGAAGGCACACAGCUGAGAAGGACCGCCUGCAACUUUUCCCCAGGUCUGAGAGUGAACCAGGGAUUGUCGAGCAUCCCCAGGACAUCUACAGAUCAGACUCACCCCAAAGGGAAUGACAAGAGCCCUCUGUCAUCACAAAAGCGUCUCACCAGGAGCUCUCAAAGCUAUGCUGUACAAGGUGUCUUAUUAUUUUAUGGACACAACCCACACAAAGCAAUCUCCUUAUAGUGACAGCCUGUGAAGCAGAUAUUACACGUCACAAAGGGGAGGUUCUUCUCUGACCUCAUUUGGGGAUGGAACUUUUAACUAAAAUGGUGUCACCCCUAAAACCACUCCGACACGCC